RNAcentral lists this unclassified non-coding RNA (1639 nucleotides) under Hevea brasiliensis (rubber tree). Lineage: Eukaryota; Viridiplantae; Streptophyta; Magnoliopsida; Malpighiales; Euphorbiaceae. The record is from RNAcentral.
AUAUGAUUUAUUCGAAGCUGCCACAGGUAUGAGAAUGAUGCAAAAUUAUUUUCAUAUCUAGGGAGUAGCAGGCUAGCAGUUGAUCUACCUCAUGGCUGGAUAAACAAAUGUUUGGACUUUUGCAAUUAUUUUUUAACAGGAAUUACUAAAUACUAAAAACAUAUUAUGAAAUCAUAUUUUUUUAGAAUGAGUUGAAGGAGUAGCGAUAUUAUAAUAACUAAAAUAGUAAUAAGGGCCGAGUAAUGGGUAACCCUGAUACCCGGAUACUCUCGAAGAAGAAACUUACUCGCCCAACUAUACCAGCGAUACUUGGAUCACUUUCAAGGAUAAGGAUCUCGAGAUAUCCGCCAUAAUCAUAAUCACAUACGUUUAAGGAAUCAACCAGCAAAGCAGACUCCUAAUUCCACUCAACUACAGAACUCCUAAUCCUAAUAGGAGACUAUCUCAAAGGCCUAUAUAAGGGUUAUCAGGUAUGCAUAAUAUUUAGUUUUCCAUUCAUCUUAUUGUUACUGACUUAGGCAUCGGAGCAGAAAGUCAUCUAGCCCACCCGGUGCUCUUCUUUCUUGCAAAUCCUAUCCAACAUCCAUUACCCGCCAAAGAGGAGAACAACAUCAAGUAGGUACUGAUGGUACAGAGGAAGCAAUAAAUAGGGGUUUAUUGGGACCAAAGCUACGAGACCAAAAGAGCCAUCAGAUCUACAACUAUAGGAGAAACAAAAAAUGGGGCCUAUUACUUUAGAUCUAGCAGGCAAAAUUAACUCCUAAAGAUUAACAUCAGAACUUCAGAAUAAAAAAGAGGGGAAGAUAUGUACAAAUUAAAAAUUAGGGCCAAUCUAUACAAAUUAAAAAUUUUUUAGGAACCUGUCAAGAGGCUAGAAUUUUGAAAGACAAUUUGUGUUUAUCAAAAAAGAUCAUUUUUUCAGCAAGAGCAGCUCGAAUGUAAACACCCAUGUCCCAACAACUAAUAGUGCAUGGCUUGGACUAUAAAAUACAUGCUAACACCAUACCUGUUCCCGCCUAUCAACAUAAGCCUACAGAAGUUCUCCAACAUAAUCUAUGAAUCUCUGGAAGGAAAUCAUUGAUUGAGCAACAUUCAGAUGGCAACAUUGUUGUUAUUGCCAUUUCAAGGGUAAAGAGGAAGAAAGAUACAAUUUGUAGCCAUGAGAUACUGAUUGUAAAAAGGCUUCUGCCAUUGUGAUUGAAAUUUCUGUUCUUUUACAUUCAACAUUUUCACAAUUAAAUAGUUCCUAACUCUAUCAAGAACCUUUAUCAUCAACAGUGAAAGAUAAGCACAAAACUUGAAUAUUCAAUAUUCAAUGAAGUGUCAGCAGAGAGAUCAAACAUUAAAACAAGCUAAAUUCAUGUUUUUUAGUUAACAUAGUUUAUAAGAACACUACAUGAAGGGCAAGAUAAUUCUGGCAAUUUACUGAUCUAAAAUAAAAUUGCCAUCAAAAUCAACCUCAUAUAUGUAGUCACAGAAGACCAUGAAGUCUUGAACACUAAACAGCAAUUGUUGUCAUAUAAAGCAUAGACUGGCAGCAUAAAUACACCUCUUGCACUGUAACAUCUAUUGGAAAAAUUACUUCAGAAUACCUGCAAAAGAUGUCUCGUAUUUUAUACCUAUCCUUGCCCCUUCUAAG